AUGAUUCUCCUUUCUGGCAUUCUGCUUUCUAUCUUUGCAUAUGCAACAUAUGGAGAUGAAAUUAAACCAGUCAAAAUAGAAGAGUUUGCUGACGAGGGCUCAAGUGUUACAUUAUCUUGCACUUAUUCAUCUGCAAAUACUCUUUUCUGGUACCGUCAGCAACCUGGAUCAGCUCCUCAAUAUCUUGUGCUCAUUCCAGAAGGUACAAAAGAAGAUUGGAAAUCAGAUGUUGAUGACAGAUUUACAGCCAGAGUCUCUAAAGACAAAGAAAAGCGUGUGGAUCUGCUGCUCUCCUCUGCUGCAGUAUCAGACUCUGCUGUGUAUUACUGUGCUCUGAGGCCCACAAAUCACAUUCCCAGAUUGCCCUCUCAGAUGUACUGUAUUCCAGACAUUUGUUCUUAA
Non-coding RNA from Danio aesculapii, 402 nucleotides. NCBI's taxonomy places the organism in Eukaryota, Metazoa, Chordata, Actinopteri, Cypriniformes, Danionidae. The record is from the annotation of a RefSeq genome assembly.